AUACGGAGGGGGCUAGCGUUGUUCGGAAUUACUGGGCGUAAAGCGCGCGUAGGCGGCUUGCCAAGUUGGAGGUGAAAGCCCGGGGCUCAACCCCGGAACUGCCUUCAAAACUGGCGAGCUAGAGUCCGGGAGAGGAGAGUGGAAUUCCCAGUGUAGAGGUGAAAUUCGUAGAUAUUGGGAAGAACACCAGUGGCGAAGGCGGCUCUCUGGACCGAUACUGACGCUGAGGCGCGAAAGCGUGGGGAGCAAACGGGAUUAGAAACCCCUGUAAUCC
Molecule: ribosomal RNA, 274 nt
Filed under: uncultured bacterium
Lineage: Bacteria
Description: partial 16S ribosomal RNA
Rfam family: Bacterial small subunit ribosomal RNA
Source: RNAcentral